AGGCAGAUGAUGAAUUAUAAUUAUUUGGACUGAUCAAACUGUGAUGAUCCAAAAUUCGAGCUUUUUAAAACUGAUGCCUC
Solanum tuberosum (potato) is the source of this 80-nucleotide non-coding RNA. The record is from Rfam. Lineage: Eukaryota; Viridiplantae; Streptophyta; Magnoliopsida; Solanales; Solanaceae.